Molecule: long non-coding RNA, 5378 nt
Organism: Dreissena polymorpha
Lineage: Eukaryota; Metazoa; Mollusca; Bivalvia; Myida; Dreissenidae
Exons: 2
Source: RefSeq, a predicted model, not a curated record
UGUGAAACAGCCUUUGAAAGAAAAAUAUAGCAAAAAUUAUUUAAUUUUAUUUCUGAUAAUGUAGUCAGUCCGUAGAUGUCCCUUGACCAAAUAAAUGGUCCGCUAUCUACUUUUGUAGCCUGUUGAACAGGUAUCUGACUUAAGUUCUUUGUCCUUUUCUAUUAAACCUGUAUAUCCAUUUUUUACUACUUUGAGCACGAAUAAGAUGAAUGUUUGUCCCCAGUUUAUAGGUCAAGGUCACAGUGGACACUUUAAAUUUGUGUAUAUUCCUUAAAUGGAUGUAGUAAAAUUAUAUGUUCCUGCACGGCUUUAUUUUGUUAUAUUUUGUUUUAUUUUUGAUAUUGUAGUCGGUCAGUAGAUGUCCCUUGACCAAAUAAAUGGUCCGCUAUCUACUGUUGUAGCCUGUUUGACAGGUAUCUGACUAAGUUUUGUUAACGCCCGUUUGAAAAAACGGACAUAUUAUGUGAUCACCCAUGGGUGGGCGGCUUCCAGAUCUCUGAGUAUAACUCUUAAAGUAUAAGAGCUUUUCACAUGAAAAUUCAUAUAUGGAUUGAUUUCAUUGAGAAGAAGUGCAGUGCACGAGAACCAUAACUCUAGCUUGCUUAAUUUCAGAAUUAUACCACAUUUUAAAUUUUCUUUUCUGAGUCAUAACUUCAUAACUAUAAGGCCAAUUAACAUCAAACUUGGAAUAAACGUAGGUUGUGGUGUAUAGAAGUGCAGCCCACAAGAAUCAUAACUUUAGAUUGCAUAAUUUUAGAAAUAUCCCCAUUAAUAAUUUUGUUGGUAUGCCUUUUUUCUUGGUUGCCUGUUUUUUAUGUCCCCAGUCUAUGCUGGGGGACAUAUUGUUUUUGCCCUGUCUGUUGGUUUGUUUGCACAAACUUUAACAUUGGCCAUAACUUUUGCAAUAUUGAAGAUAGCAACUUGAUAUUUGGCAUGUAUGUGUAUCUCAUAGAGAAUAUUUCAUUGAGUGUGACCUUCUUGGUGACCUUCAAAAAAAAGACAAGCAUUGGGGCAUUACGACUCUUGUUUCAUCAAAAAAAAAAAUUUGUUCAAGGUAACUACAAUUAGUCCUCUACAACUUUCACAUUUUAUUUAGUUCAACAGUUCUAUCACAUUUUACAAGUUUUACAUAUUUUUGAGAAAAAAAGUAAAGCUGUGCUACUGUGGACAUUCAUUGUUUUACUCUUUUAUUAUUAAUUAAUGAUCUUUAAGAUUGGUAUCUUCAUUCCAUUUUGGACAUGGUCUGGUCAGUAUUAGUAUUAUACAUAUGAAUGUUAGAAGGUUCAUAUAUCUAUGUUUGCAAUUACAAGAUAAAAAUGCAGAUAAUAUUGCAGCCAAAUUGUGUUACAAUGUAUUACUAUCUGAUGUGUUGUGUGUCAUUGAAUAGCAUAAUCCAUGAGACAUCUUGCACCCAAGCUGAUCCAGGCAAAUGCUGGUCAUGCCCAAAGAAUUUUAUCUGCCAUUGAUUCUUAGAAGGUUUGUGCCCAGCACAUCAUCAGGCACAUUGAAUUUUUACCGUAAUGUAACAAUAAUACAUUGUUCUGGUUCUUACAUAGUUUCAAAUCGUGUAUUACUGUAUACAAAGUUCCCAUUUUAUGUCAUGGGCACAUGCAAGAUGCACAGAGAUGGCAAUAUUGAUAGUCCAGCAAUAUCAGUAGAUUUCUAUAUGAAAUGUAUAUAAACAGAAAUUUCAUUUUCUUUUAAUUUCAUCAUUUCUGGUCAUAUACCUAUCGUUCAUAUUUCAUUGGAAAGCUCUUGAAAUUCUUAAGAUGUCAUAAUUAAAAACUAAAAAUGAGGUUAAACAAACAGACCAUUUAUUGUUCAAUGUUCUUUUCAGUCAAAUUAUGGGAAAAAAAUCAUAUAGUGUAACUUUUAUGCUUAUAAUUUUCUGUAGACAAUAUUAUAUUGUAAAAUAUAUUUAUAUCUAAAAUGCAAAAUGAAUAACAGUUAAAAUGAUACCAUUUUGAGCUCACCUGAGCACGAAGCUUUUAGGAUCACCUUACGUCCGUUGUCCGUGGUGUGUCAACCUGCUUCAAAUGACAUCGCCUAAACUAUGCCAAUUUUGAUAAAACUUUACAAGAAUGAUCAUUGGGUGACCCUAUACUAAAAUUGCUUUAUUUGUUCUGCUUUUGUUGCACAAGAUGACUAUCAUUACUAAAAAUAAAAAAAAUCUUUAAGUGGCAUAUUCUUUUAAACCACUACGCCAAAUUUGCCAAAUAAGUUUACAGAAGUGAUCCUUGGGUUAUCCUUGACAAAAUUGAUUAAAUCAUUUCUUUAUGAUGCAAGAGAUGGCAGUUGUCGCUAGAACAUUAUUGGAUAUUUUGACAUGAACUAGUACACUAAUUGUUCAGGUGAGUGUCUAAGGGCCAUCGGGCCAUCUUGUUAAUAUACCCUCUCAGAGCUGUUAACAAUAUUUUUUAUAUUUAGUUAAAAAAUAACAGAAGCUAUUAACAUUUUCCCCCACUGUAAUUGUAAACUAUCAAAAUGGCUGCCAGAUUAUUGUAAAUAAGAACAAUAUAACUCUUAUCAGAUAGAAAAAUUGGUGCUUUGAAAACUAUAUUGAUAUUUUAUCUGUUUCUAUGUAUAGACGGCUUUGUAAAUUUCAUACAAUGAGUAGUUGGUUUCCUAUUGAACUAUUACGCCAUUUUGGCAUAGAACGUAACCAAAGAAUAUGUACUUUGUGAAGUUGUUUAGGUGAUGAGUUUCAGUACUGUUUCAGUCACUUUAAAUCUACACGUAAAAAAAUAUUUAUAAAUAUUUUAGAAUUCAUCCUCUUAUAAAAUGGAAAAGUUAAUGAAUACGUAAUAUACAUCUGUACUUUUUCAAGUUAGUAUUAUUUUGUAAAAUUGUUAUGAAUAAUUUUAUUCAUUAUAAAUCAUGUCAUGGAUUUUUAAUUACAUGUAAAUCUUAGUAUUGUGCUAUAGUCAUAAUUCUUUUAACUACAUUGUGAAAGUGUGACCUAGUGCUACUUUGACAUAAUAUAAUUGUUGUAAUAUCCUAAAAUCUGUUGUAAGUUUUGUUGCUUGUUAAUACAGUUCUACCGGUACUUGUUCUUGAGUUCAUAUUACUUUAGAAAUUAAUUAUGUUAGAUGUAUGUGUUUACAUCACACACAAUUGUGAUUCUACUGUAUAAUUAUAUAAGUAAAUAUGUCCAAUCUAGAAUCUGUUUUAUACUGAGCUUUCAUAUUUGGUAUGUAGCAUUAUCUAGAGGUCCGCUACCAAAGUUGUUCAAAUUGUUCCUCUGGGGUCAAAAUUGACUCCGCCCUGGGGGUCACAAUUUUACAUUGAAUUAUAUAAGGAAAACUUUAAAUGACUUGAACUGCUAAUGGGAUUUUGACCAAACUCAACAGAAAUGGUCCCUGGGUAGUCCUCUACCAAAAUUGUUCAAAUGGUUCUGAUUGGUUGCAUAAGUACACAUUGUCAAAAAAAAAAGGUUUUUAAAAUGCAACUUUCAAAAAUCUUCUUGUCUGAAACUACAAGACCCAGAGCUUUCAUAUUUGGUAUAUAGCAUCCUCUAGAAGUCCUCUUCCAAAUUUGGUUUAAGUUAUGCCCCUAGGGUUAAAAUUGACCCCGCACCGGGGGUCACAAUUUUACAUUGAAUUAUAUAAGGAAAACUUUAAAUGACUUCUUAUCUUGAACCGUUAAUGGGAAUUUGAACAAACUCAACAUUAACGGUCCCCUUACCACAAUUGUUCAAAUGGUUCUGAUUGGUUGCAUAAGUAGGUCAAGGGGUAAAAAAAUAGGUUUUCUAAAUGCAAUUUUCAAAAAUCUUCUUGUCUGAAACUACAAGUCCUAGAGCUUUCAUAUUAAUUUCAUGUAUAACAUCAUCUAGAGGUCCUCUACCAGUAUUUGGUGGACAACAUUAGUGGUCCUCUGUAAAUGGCUCCAUUGUGACCUUUGACCUUUUCCUAAGGUGAGCGACCCAGGGCCCUUUGGGCCCUCUUGUUAUUUUUCAUUAAAGGGACUCUCUCAGACACGUGUAAUUUGGGAGUAAAUAAACGUUAAAAAUUUGAUAUUCAACUUCCUCGUCACUAUACCAAAGACCGCUUUCAUUUUCCUUACUUAUAAGUUACUAAAACCCCAUGUUUUUGUUGCUUGGUGUGAAGUGAGCCUUCGCGCCAGUCUGUUCAACGUUGGGAAAGCCGGUUUAUAAAUAAACUGAGGAAUUCUUUUUCGCGCGCCAAGCUAUCACGUGACGUCUAAAAAUAAACACUACACAGCAACAUAGUAGCAAAGGGAAAUAAUCGUGCGCUUAGUUUGGGUGGAAUUCUGAACAUUUGAUGUAGAAAAUGCGAGUAUUUUUUAUUUUCCUUACCAAAUUGACCAAGAUUCAAUAAAUAUUAAUGUCUUCUCUAUUUGUUUUUGUCAUCGCUCGACCCAUUUUCGUCUAACGCAAAUAAUGUAUGCGACCAUGCACAUGUUCAGUAAACGUUUCCGAAGACCCACGUGACGAUGGUAUCUAAAAACACCACCUCUUAUUCUAAGUUAAGAUCGUUGUUUACAAAAUAAACCCGUUUAAACGGUCUUACAUAUCUGCGAUUUAAAUGUUAAUUUUCUUCUCUGUACAAAUAUGAGCAAGUUUGGAAAGCUGUCAAUAAUCUAGUUCUGUGUUACUUUAGAAAUGUAUGUUGUCGUGUUUAUGGUAGAAGACAAUUUAUUUACAAAAAGUUAAAAUCUCGAUCUCUGAGAGAGUCUCUUUAACGAAAAACCGGAGAACAGUAGUAAAAAUUAUUUAAAAUUUUGAGAAAAAGGCAUUCAUCGUUACCCCAAACCUUUAUUAUUAUCAGCCAUGUUUUUUUCAUAUCAGGGAUGGUCUAAAACCCGUGGUGUCUGGAACUGUAUAUGUUCUGAUUUUUUUACAAAUAAUGUUUUUUUGGGGGGGGCAGGUGGUUUUGGACAGGGGCGGGCGUGGAUGAGAAUCUAAAAUAUUUUUUUCUAUUGCCUAACUGUAAAAUAACAUAUCUUGAAAAAUAAAAUCCUGCAAAUACUUUCUACCUGUUGUUCUGUUACAUGUGUGUUGAACAUUUCUGUGACUUGUUAAAAUCCUAUGGACAAAUUUCUAGUCUAAAUUAGCUUCUCAAUUUAAAUAACUUGUUCCUUCAAAAUAGUGCAUGGUUUGAUAUUGUACUAUUUAAAAUUUGAAUUAAUAUUAUCUCUAGUCCUGGCAAGUCUAUGUUCUUUAAGUAAAUUGAAAUUAAAAGGUUUAUUCAUUUAAACAUUUUGCAAUGAUUUCUGUUAGUUCACAUCUUGUUAAAAUGUUUUAUACAUGCAUAGUUUAUGCCUUGGUUAAAUAAAAUCUGAAAUCUGUUGUGGGAAGUAUCAUACUAUGUAUUCGUGUUUCUGUUUGUAAAACGUUUAAUAAAACUAUUUAACAUAUA